This 274-nucleotide ribosomal RNA is filed under the name uncultured bacterium. RNAcentral describes it as "partial 16S ribosomal RNA". It matches the Rfam family "Bacterial small subunit ribosomal RNA", at positions 523 to 796 of the family's 1533-position model. The record is from RNAcentral.
AUACGGAGGGUGCAAGCGUUACUCGGAAUCACUGGGCGUAAAGCGCGCGCCGGCGGCUAUUUAAGUUGGAUGUGAAAGCCUAUGGCUCAACUGGGUGAGGUCGUUCAAAACUGCCAGACUAGAGGACGGUAGAGGAAGGUGGAAUUCCCGGUGUAGUGGUGAAAUGCGUAGAUAUCGGGAGGAACACCAGUGGCGAAAGCGGCCUUCUGGCCCGUUCCUGACGCUAAGACGCGAAAGCUAGGGUAGCAAACAGGAUUAGAAACCCGAGUAGUCC